GUCUACGGCCAUGCUACUCUGAACAAGCCCGAUCCCUUCUGAUCUCAGAAGCCAAGCAGGGUCGGGCCUGGUUAGUACUUGGAUGGGAGACCACCGAGGAAGACCAGGUGCUGUAGAUG
RNAcentral lists this ribosomal RNA (119 nucleotides) under Pteropus alecto (black flying fox). The record is from RNAcentral. Lineage: Eukaryota; Metazoa; Chordata; Mammalia; Chiroptera; Pteropodidae.